This 404-nucleotide ribosomal RNA is filed under the name uncultured bacterium. RNAcentral describes it as "bacterial SSU rRNA". It matches the Rfam family "Bacterial small subunit ribosomal RNA", at positions 355 to 776 of the family's 1533-position model. The record is from RNAcentral.
UGGGGGAUAUUGCGCAAUGGGGGCAACCCUGACGCAGCAAUGCCGCGUGAAGGAUGAAGGUCUUCGGAUCGUAAACUUUUGUCUUCAGGGACGAUAAUGACGGUACCUGAGGAGGAAGCCACGGCUAACUACGUGCCAGCAGCCGCGGUAAUACGUAGGUGGCAAGCGUUGUCCGGAUUUACUGGGUGUAAAGGGCGUGUAGGCGGGAUGGUAGGUCAGAUGUGAAAUACCCGGGCUCAACCCGGGGGCUGCAUUUGAAACCAUCAUUCUUGAGUGCCGGAGAGGGAAGCGGAAUUCCUAGUGUAGCGGUGAAAUGCGUAGAUAUUAGGAGGAACACCAGUGGCGAAGGCGGCUUUCUGGACGGUAACUGACGCUGAGGCGCGAAAGCGUGGGGAGCAAACAGG